CAAGGAAGUCACGGCAUACGGUGGAUGCCUUGGCACGCGGAGGCGACGAAGGACGUGGCAAACUGCGAUAAGCCUCGGGGAGCGGUAAGCAGGCGGUGAUCCGGGGAUCUCCGAAUGGGGUAACCCACGAGGGGUAAUGCCCACGUAACCGUGCCUGAAUCCAUAGGGCACGGUGGCGAACGAGGGGAACUGAAACAUCUUAGUACCCUCAGGAAAAGAAAGCAACCGCGAUUCCCUCAGUAGCGGCGAGCGAACAGGGAAGAGCCCAAACCGUAUAACUGGAAGCCUGCCGGCGUUGGUUAUCGGGGUUGUGGGGCAGCGUUGGGCGGGGCGGCAGACCUGCCGGGGCGACGGUGCCAGGUAUAGGCGAAGGCGUUGGAAACCGCCACCAGAGAGGGUGAAAGUCCCGUAGCCGAAAUGUCUCGGCCGGCCCUGGACGCUGUUCCCAAGUACCGCGGGGCACGUGGAACCCUGCGGGAAUCUGGGAGGCCCACCUCCCAAGGCUAAAUACUACCGCGUGACCGAUAGUGGACGAGUACCGUGAGGGAAAGGUGAAAAGCACCGCCGUGAGGCGGAGUGAAAGAGAACCUGAAACCGUAUGCCUACAAGCGGUAGGAGCCCUAUGUCCGGUGGCACACCGGGCAGCGGGUGACCGCGUGCCUUUUGCAUAAUGAGCCAACGAGUGACGCUAGCGCGCAAGGUUAAGCCGUGAGGCGGAGCCGUAGCGAAAGCGAGUCCGAAGAGGGCGUUGAGUGCGUUGGCGUCGACCCGAAGCCAGGUGAGCUACCAUGGCCAGGGUAAAGCGGCGGUAACAGGUCGUGGAGGCCCGAACCGACCAAGGUUGAAAACUUGGCGGAUGAGCUGUGGGUAGGGGUGAAAGGCCAAUCAAACCUGGAGAUAGCUGGUUCUCCCCGAAAUAUAUUGAGGUAUAGCCUCGCAGAGCGCGUGCCGGCGGUAGAGCACUGAUAGGAGCUAGGGGCCCUACCAGGUUACCGAAACCUAUUCAAACUCCGAAUGCCGGCAACGACAGCUGCGGGAGUCAGACUGCGGGGGAUAAGCUCCGUGGUCGAGAGGGAAACAGCCCAGACCGUCCGCUAAGGUCCCCAAAUCGCCGCUAAGUGGCAAAGGAUGUGACAGCACCCAGACAGCCAGGAGGUUGGCUUAGAAGCAGCCAUCCUUUAAAGAAAGCGUAAUAGCUCACUGGUCGAGUGGUGUGGCGCCGAAAAUGUACGGGGCUCAAGCGGCGUACCGAAGCGGCGGAUGUCCUCCUUGGGAGGGCAUGGUAGGGGAGCGUUCUCAGCGGGGCGAAGCCGUACCGGAAGGCGUGGUGGACUGCUGAGAAGUGAGAAUGUUGGCAUGAGUAGCGAUUAAGGGGGUGAGAAUCCCCCUCGCCGAACACCCAAGGGUUCCUGGGCAAGGUCAUCCUCCCAGGGUGAGUCGGUCCCUAAGCCGAGGCCGAAAGGCGUAGGUGAUGGACAACUGGUUAAUAUUCCAGUACUCCUCAUGCGCGUUACGAGCGAUGGGGGGACGCAGGAGGGUAGCCCGGCCGGCGGCUGGACGUGCCGGUGCAAGCCGGUAGGAGGGGCGAGGAGGCAAAUCCCUUCGCCCGUUAACUCCGAGAGGCGAUGGCGAGACCUUCGGGUCACAAAGCGGGUGAGCCCACACUGCCAAGAAAAGCCUCUAGCCAGUGCAUGAGGAAACCGUACCCGAAACCGACACAGGUGGGUGGGGAGAGAAUCCUCAGGCGUUGAGGGAACCCUCGUUAAGGAACUCGGCAAGUUGGCCCCGUAACUUCGGGAGAAGGGGUACCCCACUAGCGUGAAGUCCCUUGCGGAUGGAGCGCGAAGGGGUGGCACUGACCAGGGCCUGGCGACUGUUUACUAAAAACACAGGUCUCUGCAAAGUCGUAAGACGACGUAUAGGGACUGACGCCUGCCCGGUGCCGGAAGGUUAAGAGGAGGGGUCAUCCCUUCGGGGAGAAGCCCUGAAUCGAAGCCCCGGUAAACGGCGGCCGUAACUAUAACGGUCCUAAGGUAGCGAAAUUCCUUGUCGGGUAAGUUCCGACCUGCAUGAAUGGCGUAACGACUAGGCCCCUGUCUCAACGAGGGUCUCAGUGAAAUUGUAGUCGCGGUGAAGAUGCCGAGUACCCGCGGAAAGACGGAAAGACCCCGUGCACCUUUACUACACCCUGAUAGUGGACGUCGGACAUUCAUGUGUAGGAUAGGUGGGAGGCUGGGAAGCGGGGGCGCCAGCUCCCGUGGAGCCGUCCUUGAAAUACCACCCUUGGAUGUUUGACGUCCUAACCAAGGCCCGUAAGCCGGGUCUGGGACACUGUCAGGCGGGUAGUUUGACUGGGGCGGUCGCCUCCUAAAACGUAACGGAGGCGCCCAAAGGUACCCUCAGGCGGUAUGGAAAUCCGCUGUUGAGUGCAAAGGCAUAAGGGAGCCUGACUGCGAGAGGGACGCGUCGAGCAGGGACGAAAGUCGGGCUUAGUGAUCCGGUGGUCCCUUGUGGAAGGGCCAUCGCUCAACGGAUAAAAGGUACGCCGGGGAUAACAGGCUGAUCCCGCCCAAGAGUUCACAUCGACGGCGGGGUUUGGCACCUCGAUGUCGGCUCAUCGCAUCCUGGGGCUGGAGCAGGUCCCAAGGGUUGGGCUGUUCGCCCAUUAAAGCGGUACGCGAGCUGGGUUUAGAACGUCGUGAGACAGUUCGGUCCUUAUCUUCCGCGGGCGCUGGAGUGCUGAGAGGAGCUGUCCCUAGUACGAGAGGACCGGGACGGACGCACCUCUAGUGUACCAGUUGUCGCGCCAGCGGCACCGCUGGGUAGCUACGUGCGGACCGGAUAACCGCUGAAAGCAUCUAAGCGGGAAGCCGACCUCAAGAUGAGCACUCCCGGGGUUUGCCCCCACAGACCCGUCGAAGACUACGACGUUGAUAGGCUGCAGGUGGAAGCGUGGCAACACGUGAAGCCGAGCAGUACUAAUCGGUCGGGCGACUUGACC
This 3001-nucleotide ribosomal RNA is filed under the name Candidatus Tectimicrobiota bacterium. Its description in RNAcentral is "Candidatus Tectomicrobia bacterium 23S ribosomal RNA". It matches the Rfam family "Bacterial large subunit ribosomal RNA". The record is from RNAcentral. Lineage: Bacteria; Pseudomonadati; Candidatus Tectimicrobiota.